CAGUAGGUGGCGGCAGACACGUUAUAUUUGUGUAAAUGUCAGUAUACCAGAGAAGAAGAUGACGCUGUUGCACCGUUGAAGUGGGGAACAGGAAGUUCCGGGUAGAAAACGACGAACUGUGCUGUUAUGGCGAUAGGGGUUGUGUCCGUUUCAAAUGUAUUAUUGUAGGCCGACUCAGAUUAAGUCUGAGGCCAUUAACAUAAACAGCGAGGUCAAACCGACAGUCACUGGGUCCUGAUAGUGACAGUGGAGCCCAGUUUGCUCUGCAGGGUCCAGAGAUGGCAUCAGUGAAGCUGGAAGACUGCAGUCAAACACUGGAGCUGAAUGUCAACAUUAAAGAUGAAGAGGAGGAGAUUGGUACAUCUGUUAGUCAUGCCCGACUCAGAUUAAGUCUGAGGCCGGUAACAUCAACAGUGACGACAAACCAAGCCUGCCACUCUCCUUCCACACUGAGUCCAAACCUACAGUCACUGGGUCCUGAGUGUGACAGUGGAGCCCAGUUUGCACUGCAGGAUCCAGAGAUGGCAUCAGUGAAGCUGGAAGACUGCAGUCAAACACUGGAGCUGAAUGUCAUCAUUAAAGAUGAAGAAGAGGAGGAGAAGAUUGGGGGAUCUGUUAGUCAUGGAGACCAUGUUGAGACAUUCUCUACAUCCAGAGAGCAACAGCUGGAAGAUCACAGAGCUAAGAGGUCUCACCACUGCCCACAUUGUGAAGAGAUUUUCCCAUUUCUAUCAAAGCUAAAAAUACACCUAAAAAUACACACAGGAGAGAAGCCUUACUCCUGCUCUGACUGUGGAAAAUGCUUCAAAACAUCAACGGUGUUAAAACUUCAUCAGAGAACACACUCAGGAGAGAAGCCUUAUUACUGCUCUGACUGUGGAAAACGUUUUAAAACAUCAACUCAGCUAAACGUUCAUCAGAGAACACACACAGGAGAGAGGCCUUUCUUCUGCCCUGACUGUGGAACUAGUUUCUCUCAACUUUCCCACUUAAAAACACAUGAACGUAUACAUACAGGGGAGAAGCCUUAUUACUGCCCUGACUGUGGAAAACGUUUUAAAACAUCAAAUGAGCUAAAAGUUCAUCAAAGAAUACAUACAGGAGAGAAGCCUUACGUCUGCUCUGACUGUGUAAAAUGCUUCACAACAUCAACUGAUCUAAAAGU
Molecule: long non-coding RNA, 1165 nt
Organism: Oncorhynchus masou masou (cherry salmon)
Lineage: Eukaryota; Metazoa; Chordata; Actinopteri; Salmoniformes; Salmonidae
Exons: 4
Source: RefSeq, a predicted model, not a curated record